AACAGUACUUAAGCUUUAACUUAAUUUAAUAAAGGAACAACACUUAACAGCAUUUAGCUCAGCUUACAACUUAAACUUACUUACAGGCCCAGCUUCCUUAGAUAUCUAAAUAACUUAAACAUCUGAGAGAGCAGCAUUUCCCCCAUGGUUUGCUAUGGGAAUUGCACACGUGUGCAGAGACACAAAGAGUCACUGCAGUGCCUGUGAUGCACCACCACAGUAAUACAUGUGUUUUACAAACCUUUGGAUUUCAUAGUGGUUUAGAGUCCUUGAAGUGCCUUUAGGAAGUUAUGUUAAUGGAAAAGAAAUUUUCUACGUUUCAGACAUAAAAAUAUUUCAUGUGCCAGUCAUCUCCAGGAUUUUUUUGGGUUUUCCUUUAGGAGGGCUACUGGCAUGUGUAAGUGCGUGUGUUUCCAAGGCUUGAGCCUCUCAGAACACAGAUAGGAAAGAACCUCAAAGCAGCUCUGUCUAAAGCAUGUUCCUCCCCUCCUAAGUGAGAGCUGGAUUCAAGAGCUCCUCGUACUUCUAGUCUCAGGAAGUGAAACCCACACUUGCCCCAGCUCCCUGACCCUAUCUGCCUCUUGCCACUGUGCAGGGCAUCCUGCUGCCUCCUUUCAAUGGCAAAGUCCUCAAUAUUCCCUUCUGCGAAACUCAGAGCCCUGCAAGCACAGUGCCACAGCAAGCAGCAGGCCAACCUGAAAAUGAUGUGGUGACCAACCUUGCAUUGGAUUUUAUGAUGUCAUUUGCUGUUGUUCUGUUUGUGUGAUUUUUUGCUUGAGAUAACACAUAUGCUGUUUACAACUCUUUGAUGGAAGCCAAGGUAUGUACCCUUUUUUAGUUAAAAAAAAAAUUGCAAGUAGAGCCUGGGACUGAUUUCAAUAUAAAUUACUCUUUUUUCUGCUUCUGAUUGUAUGUUCACAUAUUGUGUUUCCUCUAGCAUGUAUUUUUUUUAUCCCUUGAAGACUCAGCUUGUAGUGGGAAUUAUCUUGGUUCAGGUCUGAUUCUGUAGGAUUUCUGCAAGACGUGAUAUGUUGGUAGUGCAGCCAAUAACCCAUGAACACCACAAAUUAUAAUAAUCACAUUCUAGUCCAUGAAUUUUCUAUUUUUCAGGAAACUGGAGCUUCUGACAGUAAUUUGUAAUCAGCUUUGUGAACGGUUGUAAUUAGACAUUUGGAAAAUGCAGCAUUUUGCUUUCACUCAUCGCUCAAAGGAACAGGUGACUGUAGAGAAGAACCACCUUGUAAUGGUUCUGAAUUACAUUUAAGAGUUAUUUCCUGUUUAAUUCUUCUUAAUCUAAUGUUA
RNAcentral lists this long non-coding RNA (1302 nucleotides) under Parus major (Great Tit). RNAcentral describes it as "lncRNA (ENSPMJG00000007932.1)". The record is from RNAcentral. Lineage: Eukaryota; Metazoa; Chordata; Aves; Passeriformes; Paridae.